CGGUUUCUGCCCAGUUCGUUACGGUUCGUUUUCCCUGGGGCUUUCAAUACCUCGGGAGCUGUCCCUGCCAGGCCCGUGGGCUUGGUAUAUGGCGCCCACCUGCACCAGCAGGCCACAGAGGAUUCCUUAACCAACGGCUGGUGUGGGGCCGUC
This 153-nucleotide non-coding RNA is filed under the name Rhodospirillales bacterium. RNAcentral describes it as "6S RNA". It matches the Rfam family "6S / SsrS RNA". Rfam says of the family: E. coli 6S RNA was the first non coding RNA to be sequenced, but its function was unknown until recently. It consists of 184 nucleotides that fold into an extended hairpin structure with a large single-stranded internal bulge. The record is from RNAcentral. Lineage: Bacteria; Pseudomonadati; Pseudomonadota; Alphaproteobacteria; Rhodospirillales.